Molecule: ribosomal RNA, 329 nt
Filed under: uncultured Clostridiaceae bacterium
Lineage: Bacteria; Bacillati; Bacillota; Clostridia; Eubacteriales; Clostridiaceae
Description: bacterial SSU rRNA
Rfam family: Bacterial small subunit ribosomal RNA
Source: RNAcentral
GAUGAACGCUUGCGGCGUGCCUAACACAUGCAAGUCGAGCGAGAAUCGGUGAAAUGAAACUUCGGUAGAUUGGAUCCGAGGACAGCGGCGGACGGGUGAGUAACGCGUGGGCAACCUGCCCCUUACUGGUGGAUAGCCGCGGGAAACUGCGAGUAAUACACCAUAAUGCAUCGAUGAGACAUCUCAAUGAUGCCAAAGAUUUAUCGGUAAGGGAUGGGCCCGCGUCAGAUUAGCCAGUUGGCGGGGUAACGGCCCACCAAAGCGACGAUCUGUAGCCGGCCUGGAGAGGGCGGACGGCCACAUUGGGACUGAGACACGGCCCAAACUCC